GGGGUUGUGGCUCAGCGGUAGAGUGCUCGCCUAGCAUGUGUGAGGCCCUGGGUUCGAUCCUCAGCACCACA
Molecule: transfer RNA, 71 nt
Filed under: Marmota monax (woodchuck)
Lineage: Eukaryota; Metazoa; Chordata; Mammalia; Rodentia; Sciuridae
Description: tRNA.Ala
Rfam family: tRNA
About the family: Transfer RNA (tRNA) molecules are approximately 80 nucleotides in length.
Source: RNAcentral